AAAUUGAAGAGUUUUGAUUGGCGGCUCAGAUUGAACGCUGGCGGCAGCCCAACACAUGCAAGUCGAACGGCAACAGGAAGCAGCUUGCUGCUUCGCUGACGAGUGGCGGACGGGUGAGUAAUGUCUGGGAAACCGCCUGAUGAGGGGAUAAUUACUGGAAAACGGUGGCUACUGACCGCAUAACGUCGUAAGACCAAAGAGUAUCCCUUUCGCCUCUUGCCAUCAGGAUGUGCCCAGAUGGGAUUAGCUUGUUGCGAGGUAACGUCACCAAGGCGAUUGAUCCUUUGGGCUGGUCUGAGAGGAUGACCCGAAGCCACACUGGAACCGGAGACACGGUCCGACUCCUACGGAGGCAGCAGCAGUGGGGAAUAUUGCAAUAAUGGGCGCAAGCCUGAUGCAGCCAUGCCGCGUGUAUGCAGCGAAGGCCUGGUUGUAAAGUACUUUCAGCGGGUGAGGAAGGUGUUGUGGCUAUUAACCGCAGCAAUUGACGUUACCCAGAAGAAGCACCGGCUAACCUGCGCCGGUGCAGCCGCGGUAAUACGGAGGGUGCAAGCGUUAAUCGGAAUUACUGGGCGCAAGCACGCAGGCGGUCUGCCGGGUCGGAUGUGAAACUCCCCUGCCUGGAACCUGAACUGCAUUCGAACUGGUGCAGGCUUGAGUCUUGUAGAGGGGGGCAGAAUUCCGUGUGUAGCGGUGAAAUGCGUAGAGAUCUGAGGAAUACCGGUGGCGAAGGCGGCCCCUCGACAAAGACUGACGCUCAGGCGCGAAAGCGUGGGGAGCAACAGGAUUAGAUACCCGGUAGUCCACGCCGUAAACGAUGUCUACUUGGAGGUUGUGCCCCGAGGCGUGGCUUCCGAGCCAACGCGUUAAGUAGACCGCCCGGGGAGUACGGCUGGCCGCAAGGUUAAAAUCAAAUGAAUUGACGGGGCCCGCAAUAAGCGGUGGAGCAUGUGGUUUACCCGAUGCAACGCGAAGAACCUUACCUCCGGUCUUGACAUCCACGGAAGUUUUCAGAGAUGAGACAAAGCCUUCGGGAACCGUGUGAGACAGGUGCUGCAUGGCUGUCGUCAGCUCGUGUUGUGAAAUGCUGGUUAAGUCCCGCAACGAAGCGCAACCUUAUCCUGUUGCCAGCGGUCCGGCCGGGAACUCAAAGGAGACCGCCAGUGAUAAACUGGAGGAAGGUGGGGGAUGACGCGUCAUGGCCCUACGACCGUGGCUAACACGUGCUGCAAUGGCGCAUACAAAGAAAGCGACCCGCGAGAAGCAAGCGGACCUCAUAAAGUGCGUCGUAGUCCGGAUUGAGUCUGCAACCGACCCACAUGAAGUCGGAAUCGCUAGUAAUCGUGAUCAGGAAAGCCACGGUGAAUACGUUCCGGGCCUGUACACACCGCCCGUCACACCAUGGGAGUGGGUUGCAAAAGAAGUAGGUAGCUUAACCUUCGGGAGGGCGCUACCACUCUUUGUGAUUCAUGACUGGGGUGAAGUCGUAACAAGCGUAACCGUAGGGGAACCUGCGGUUGAUCACCUCCUUA
Molecule: ribosomal RNA, 1532 nt
Filed under: Salmonella enterica subsp. enterica
Lineage: Bacteria; Pseudomonadati; Pseudomonadota; Gammaproteobacteria; Enterobacterales; Enterobacteriaceae
Description: bacterial SSU rRNA
Rfam family: Bacterial small subunit ribosomal RNA
Source: RNAcentral